RNAcentral lists this ribosomal RNA (505 nucleotides) under uncultured bacterium. RNAcentral's name for it is "partial 16S ribosomal RNA". It matches the Rfam family "Bacterial small subunit ribosomal RNA", at positions 28 to 507 of the family's 1533-position model. The record is from RNAcentral.
GACGAACGCUGGCGGCGUGCCUAAUACAUGCAAGUAGAACGCACAGUUUAUACCGUAGCUUGCUACACCAUAGACUGUGAGUUGCGAACGGGUGAGUAACGCGUAGGUAACCUGCCUGGUAGCGGGGGAUAACUAUUGGAAACGAUAGCUAAUACCGCAUAAUAUUGAUUAUUGCAUGAUAAUUGAUUGAAAGAUGCUAUUGCAUCACUACCAGAUGGACCUGCGUUGUAUUAGCUAGUAGGUGAGGUAACGGCUCACCUAGGCGACGAUACAUAGCCGACCUGAGAGGGUGAGCGGCCACCCUGGGACUGAGACACGGCCCAGACUCCUACGGGAGGCAGCAGUAGGGAAUCUUCGGCAAUGGACGAAAGUCUGACCGAGCAACGCCGCGUGAGUGAAGAAGGUUUUCGGAUCGUAAAGCUCUGUUGUAAGAGAAGAACGGGUGUGAGAGUGGAAAGUUCACACUGUGACGGUAUCUUACCAGAAAGGGACGGCUAACUACGUG